Long non-coding RNA from Brachypodium distachyon (stiff brome), 4723 nucleotides. RefSeq annotates it as putative disease resistance RPP13-like protein 3. The record is from RefSeq and is a predicted model, not a curated record. NCBI's taxonomy places the organism in Eukaryota, Viridiplantae, Streptophyta, Magnoliopsida, Poales, Poaceae. The transcript has 5 exons.
AAAAAGGUUCCUGAAAAUCCGCACUCUGUUUCCCCUCUUUGUUCUGUCCCGCGUCGCAACAUCCACCCGCCGGAUGGCUGACUGCAGCAACGCCGCCAGCUAGGGGAACCGAACCCGCGGCCGGCGACGGCCUCAAGCGGCUCGGCUCGGCAAGGUUUUGAGGUACAUAUGCUGGUUCGUGGAUUGACCACUGCCACUAUCAUCCCUAGUAAAAGAGCACAGAGCAGGGCCCUCUUUUCCUGGACAGAGGAACAAUAUGCUGCUUCUGGAGGAAGCAUCACGCUCCAGCCCACUAGCUCUGAUCAUCAAUUGGACAAUGGUUACUAGAUUAUAUACUUAAGGUGAACUGGACCUGACGGGCUGACGGACCUAGCUUCACUGCACAUUAUCAAGGAAUAACAUGGAACGGUAUAUACAUCACGGGUUUGUUGACGAUGACACACCGCAGUGGAUUCACUGUCUCUAUUUAUUCUGAAAGUACUAGAGUCCAAUGGCAGCCGCACAUAUUGUAUGCUAUAAUCACACCGCUGCAUUAUUUUGAAAGGGCUGCACAACUUUUAGUUAAUAGAACUUGGUGGUUCAGUUCAAAGUAAAGUAUGCAUAUAUAUAGCAUAAGGUAGCUCAGAUGGGCAGGUACACUUCAGCUUCGUUAAUAAAAACUAUUGACCGACUUGCAUCAAGAAAACGAUGGUCUCUUGUAUGAUGUUACAGGUCACCAAAUAUGCAAGUUGAGCUGGAGUGAAUACCACGUCUGUUGUCAAAUUGUGAUGUUUAUUAUGAUGAAAUCCACUACAGACUAUAGCCACAAUCAUUGAUGGCACAUAAUAACCCCCCCCCCCCCCCCCAACACACACACACACCCCUCUCCUCCCCAACUUCACCUCCAUUUGUCUCCACUGAAUUUAUUUCGCUUGGAGUCCAGCAUUGCCAUUUGAAUGUGAUUCUCUUUCAGUGCCUCCGACCUUGGCGCUCGCACUGGUGAGUGUUGCAACCGGGGUGCUCAGCCCUGUCCUUGGGAAGCUCUCCACACUGUUGGAGAACAAGUACAGCAGCCUAACGGGAGUGGGUGAUGAGAUCCUUGAAUUGCAAGAUGAGCUGAGUAGCAUGAACGCGCUGCUCCUGAAGCUGUCGGACAUUGAUGAUCUAGACAUCCAGGUGAAGGAGUGGAGGAACCAGAUCCGCGAGCUGUCAUAUGAGAUUGAGGAUUGCAUCGAUGACUUUGUCCACCGUGUCGAGCAGCGUGACCCUGAAAAGCGCAAGAAAAUGAAGGGUUUCUUCCAGGAGAGCAUUCACAAGCUCAGAACACUUGGAGCUCGCAGUGAGAUUGCCAGCAAGAUCUUGAAGCUCAAGGCCCGUGUUGAUCAUGCGAGUGAACGGCGAAAACGGUACAACUUUGAUGGGGUGCCUUCAAGCUCUAGCAUGGUGGUGCCCAUCGACCCUCGGUUACCGGCGCUUUAUGCAGAGGCAGAAAGCCUUGUGGGUAUUGAUGGACCAAGAGAUGAGCUCAUCGAGCGGUUAGCUGAAGGGGAGGCAAACUUGGUAAGAAAACUGAAGGUUGUGUCCGUUGUUGGACUUGGAGGGUUAGGCAAGACUACUCUUUCCCGUCAGGUUUAUGAUAGAAUCGGAAGACAGUUUGACUGUCGAGCAUUUGUUUCAGUAUCCCAGAAACCUGACAUGAGAAAAAUAUUGAGAAACAUACUCACCAGUGUCACAGGGAUAGAACACUAUCCAGGCAUAGAAGCAUGUGACGAGGAGCAGCUCAUCAACAAACUGAGGGGAUUCCUCAAUGACAAAAGGUACUUCGUCGUUAUUGAUGAUAUAUGGAGCACAGUAGCAUGGCCGACAAUCAGAUGUGCUUUGCUUGAAAAUAACCUCUGCAGCAGAAUAUUGACAACGACACGUAUCACUUCUGUAGCAAGGUCUUGUUGCUCUCCUGACUACAGUAAUGUUUAUGAAAUGAAACCGCUAAGUGAUAUUAAUGCCGGAAAGUUAUUUGCCAAAAGAAUAUUUGGUUCUGAAGAUCAAUGCCCAUCUCAGUUCAAAGAUCUAUCCAAUGACAUCUUGAGAAAAUGUGGUGGUCUACCGUUGGCAGUUAUUAGUAUUGCAAGCUUGCUGGCUAGUAAACCAUGCACAAAAGAACAAUGGGAGAGUUAUCGGAAUCAUAUUGGCUCGGCACUUGAAGAUGUUCCCAGUGUAAGUAACAUGCAAAAGAUUAUAUCUCUGAGUUACAAUGACCUUCCCCACUAUCUGAAGACAUGCUUACUAUAUCUUAGUAUGUUUCCAGAAGAUUUUGUAAUACCAAGGGAUCAAUUAGUAAGAAGAUGGAUAGCUGAAGGCUUCAUCAGUACAUGUGGUGGACAAAGAUUAGAGCAAGUGGGAGAGUGCUACUAUAAUGAGCUCAUAAACCGGAGCAUGAUUAUGCCUGCGACACAAGAGUGGGAUCGAAGGGCUGUGUUUUGUCGAGUACAUGAUGUGAUUCUUGAUCUCAUUGUAUCCAAGUCAGCUGAGGAAAAAUUUGUUACGGCAGUUGGUAACAAUAAUCACACGCUGGGACCACAAGAUAAAGCUUGUCGGCUAUCACUUGAUUGCCGUGAUCAAGAUAAUAUAGUAGUGUCAUCAAGUAUGGUUCUUUCCAAAGCUCGAUCAUUCAGUAUUUAUGGGUCUUCUGAACACACGCCGCUUCUUUCAGAUUUUCAAGCACUACGUGUGAUUAACAUUGAACAGAAUCGUAAGUUGGAAAAUCAUUAUUUUGAUGAUAUAGGGAGAUUGGUCCAGUUGAAAUACCUAACACUCCAAGAAGUUAACAUCAGCAAACUUCCAGAUCAAAUAGGGGAACUGCAACAACUCGAGUCACUAGAGCUAAGGUGGACAGGGAUAAAAGAAUUGCCCAAGAAUAUUGUCCGGCUGAAGAAGUUGAAAUUCUUAUAUGCUAGCAAUGUAAGACUUUUUGAAGGAAUUGGAAAUAUGCAAGCUUUGCAGGAAGUUCGUUAUGUGAAAGUUGACAGCAGCAUCCCAACAACUUCCCUUGAUGAGCUGGGCAAUUUGGCUGAAUUAAGAUAUCUGGGAAUAGAUUGGCUUGUUAGUGAUUCAUCCAGUGAUCAGAAAAGUUACACUGAUAGCUUUGUUUCAUGCAUGGAUAGACUCUGCAGAUUCAAGCUUCGGUAUCUAAAUAUUGCCUGUGAUGUUGAAAAUGGUAUAUCACUAGAUUUCUUGCUGGAUUCCUGGUCCCCUCCUCCGUGUCUUCUUGAAAAUUUUGUGAUGCGAUCAGCCUACUACUUUCCUAGAAUCCCAGAGUGGGCUUCCUUGCUCUCUAAUGUCACCUUGCUAGACAUCAACAUUAAUCCAGUUCGACCGGAAGUUCUUCAGGUCCUUGGUUGCUUGCCUUCGCUCCUAUCUCUCUCUCUAUACACAAGAGAAGUAGCCCCAGGAGCAACACUCAUCAUCUGCAGCAGCGGAUUCCAAUGUCUGGAAGAGUUUGAGUUCUACUCAUGGAAUAUUGCAAUGGGGCCACUAGUGUUUGAGGUUGGUGCCAUGCCAAAGCUUGAAAAGUUUGUUUUUAGGCUAGUGGCACGGUGCAUCGAAUCUCCAUGCGGUAAUUUUUAUCUUGGCCUCCAACACGUCCGUUCCCUCAAGCAUCUCCUUGUUGAUAUAGAUUGUCGAGGUGCAAACGCUGAGGAGGUGCAGAUCACAGAGGCAGCCAUCAAGAAUGCAACAGAUCUCACUAUCAACCAUGUACGAAUCGAUUUCAGCAGAUUGUGGAUGGACCAGAUGGCAAAAGAUGAUGAUGCGGGAGGCAUGGAAGGCAGUGAACAUAGGGGCGGUGAGGGUCCGGCAGAGAGCAGUACCAAAAUUCUAUUGCAACAGCACUUCAAAAUAUUCCCAGUGUAGGAAAACAUGGAAAUGAUGAAUUGUGAGAUUCUAGAAGCUAGAGCUUAGCCUGUCCUAUCUAUGGCUGGGCUGAGUUAACAAGGCAAAGAUGAUGUCGGACUUCAACUUGAAGAUGGAAGGGGCUGCAAUACAGGGAUGGCCAGAUCUCCCAAAUAUUGUGCUGGAGAAGGCACCACAUGUGGCAAUUGCAACCUAUACCAUUGUUUUGAAUCUGUACACAUGUAAUUGUUCAAAAUGGGGACCUAACUGGAGUGCCAUGCACCCAUGUUGUUGCCACCAUCCAAAGGGUUCAAAUAUAGGUCAGAAGGGGAUUACCUAGAGCUUCUUUCUUGAUAUGUACUCUCCAGGCAACAACCAGGACAACUGAAGAAGAGAACAAGACGCUUGGACCAACCAAAGGUUCCAUCGUGAUCAGGAAUGUAUGGCGGCCAUAAAUAGAUGACAUGAUCAUGGAGACACUUUAGCUGCAACCCUGCGAAUCAAGACGUACACUUCAGUGGCAGCUCUUCUCAGCCAACACUACCAGCUGCAGAACUUGAAAUUUCAACUAGUGGCUCACAGUCACAGCCACCAUUGUGUUCGUGGACACAAUCGUUGGAGUAGGCAUGUAUCACCAUGUCUUGCCAGCAUGAAAUGUCAUUUUGUAGGAUGACGUUAUUUUGUGUGUGUGGCAGCUAGUACUAGUAGGGUUAACUAUUUACUCAUGCAUCCGUGCUCUGGACUCUGGAGCAUUUUCUUGGCAGCUUGUGUCAAGUAACCUGUCAAAGAUGUACUUGUAGAGUAGAGACGUAUCAAAACUGUUCAUAGAUAUUGUCAUCUUAAGGUUUGUGUCAAA